RNAcentral lists this transfer RNA (88 nucleotides) under Actinomycetota bacterium. Its description in RNAcentral is "tRNA-Ser". Lineage: Bacteria; Bacillati; Actinomycetota. The record is from RNAcentral.
GGCUAGAUUAGCCGGUUAUGACUGGUCAGGACCGGCCUGGUACUCGCACUGAUAAUGCUGAGGUCGCUGGUUCGAUUCCAGCUAGCCC